GUGGGGAAUAUUGCGCAAUGGCCGAAAGGCUGACGCAGCGACGCCGCGUGGGGGAUGAAGCAUUUCGGUGUGUAAACCCCUGUUGCCCGGGACGAACAAGCGAUUUCGAUCGCUCUGACGGUACCGGGUGAGGAAGCACCGGCUAACUCCGUGCCAGCAGCCGCGGUAAUACGGAGGGUGCGAGCGUUGUCCGGAAUCACUGGGCGUAAAGGGCGCGUAGGCGGUGACUUAAGCGUGUGGUGAAAGCCCGGGGCUCAACCCCGGGUCUGCCGUGCGAACUGGGUCACUCGAGCACUGUAGAGGCAGGUGGAAUUCCGGGUGUAGCGGUGGAAUGCGUAGAGAUCCGGAAGAACACCGGUGGCGAAGGCGGCCUGCUGGGCAGUAGCUGACGCUGAGGCGCGACAGCGUGGGGAGCAAACAGGAUUAGAUACCCUUGUAGUCC
Molecule: ribosomal RNA, 442 nt
Filed under: uncultured bacterium
Lineage: Bacteria
Description: partial 16S ribosomal RNA
Rfam family: Bacterial small subunit ribosomal RNA
Source: RNAcentral